GAACGCGAUCAUACCAGCACUAAAUCACCG
RNAcentral lists this ribosomal RNA (30 nucleotides) under Panax quinquefolius. The record is from RNAcentral. Lineage: Eukaryota; Viridiplantae; Streptophyta; Magnoliopsida; Apiales; Araliaceae.